RNAcentral lists this ribosomal RNA (301 nucleotides) under uncultured bacterium. Its description in RNAcentral is "partial 16S ribosomal RNA". It matches the Rfam family "Bacterial small subunit ribosomal RNA", at positions 509 to 808 of the family's 1533-position model. The record is from RNAcentral.
CAGUAGCCACGGUAAUACGUAGGGUGCGAGCGUUGUCCGGAAUUACUGGGCGUAAAGGGCUCGUAGGUGGUUUGUCGCGUCGUCUGUGAAAUUCUGGGGCUUAACUCCGGGCGUGCAGGCGAUACGGGCAUAACUUGAGUGCUGUAGGGGUAACUGGAAUUCCUGGUGUAGCGGUGAAAUGCGCAGAUAUCAGGAGGAACACCGAUGGCGAAGGCAGGUUACUGGGCAGUUACUGACGCUGAGGAGCGAAAGCAUGGGUAGCGAACAGGAUUAGAUACCCCGGUAGUCCCUGUCUCUUAUA